ACUCCUACGGGAGGCAGCAGUGGGGAAUAUUGGACAAUGGGCGAAAGCCUGAUCCAGCCAUGCCGCGUGUGUGAAGAAGGUCUUCGGAUUGUAAAGCACUUUAAGUUGGGAGGAAGGGCAGUAAGUUAAUACCUUGCUGUUUUGACGUUACCAACAGAAUAAGCACCGGCUAACUUCGUGCCAGCAGCCGCGGUAAUACGAAGGGUGCAAGCGUUAAUCGGAAUUACUGGGCGUAAAGCGCGCGUAGGUGGUUCAGCAAGUUGGAUGUGAAAUCCCCCCGGGCUCAACCUGGGAACUGCAUCCAAAACUACUGAGCUAGAGUACGGUAGAGGGUGGUGGAAUUUCCUGUGUAGCGGUGAAAUGCGUAGAUAUAGGAAGGAACACCAGUGGCGAAGGCGACCACCUGGACUGAUACUGACACUGAGGUGCGAAAGCGUGGGAGCAAACAGGAUUAGAUACCCCUGGUAGGAUAGCG
RNAcentral lists this ribosomal RNA (475 nucleotides) under uncultured bacterium. RNAcentral's name for it is "bacterial SSU rRNA". It matches the Rfam family "Bacterial small subunit ribosomal RNA", at positions 335 to 799 of the family's 1533-position model. The record is from RNAcentral.